Cygnus olor (mute swan) is the source of this 1358-nucleotide long non-coding RNA. RefSeq lists it as uncharacterized. The transcript is spliced from 3 exons. Lineage: Eukaryota; Metazoa; Chordata; Aves; Anseriformes; Anatidae. The record is from RefSeq and is a predicted model, not a curated record.
AGGGAGGGCUUCUCUCCGCUCACCUGGGGGAAAGCUCCUGUCACCUGAGGGAAGGAUCCUCUUCUCUCACCUGAGGGAGGGCUUCUGUCCUGCCAUUUGAGGGAAGGUUUCUCUUCUGUCAGCUGAGGGAAGGAUCCUCUCCUCUCACCCGAGGGAAAGCUUCUGUCCUGUCAGCUGAGGGCUUCUGUCCUAUCAGCCGAGGGCUUCUGUCCUGUCAGCUGAGAGAAAGCUUCUGUCCUGUCACAUGAGGCAGGGUUUCUCUUCGCUCACCUGUCGGAAAGCUUCUCUUCUGCCAGCUGAGGGAAGGAUCUCUUUUCACCUGAGGGAAAUCUUCUCUUCUCUCACCUCAGGGAAGGCUUCUGUCCUCUCACCUGAGUGUCAGGAAGUGGAGCUGAGUUGGCAGUAUACGGCAGCAGUAUAUGCCAUCCCAGAGAAGGCUGUAAAAGCUCAGUAAGUGGGAGAUGACAGAGCCAACGCACUGCCUGUGUUAGGGGAGCAACAGAACUCCGAUAGUGAUGUAAAUUAUUGGAGCAGUGUUCAUCUAGGGAAUUGCAGACAGACAAAGCAGCUCUGAGGAAAUGCAUCCCUGUCAAAGAAACUUUUUUUCAGCUGAAGCUUGAAUAACAGCAGAAAUGAAAAGCAGAGUAAUCUGGUGAGGGGGAAAAUGAACUGCAGAAACUGUAAGUAUUUUUGAAUGAUUUCGUACAUAGCUCACUUAUCUGAUGAGCAGAUUCCUAUAUGCAUUUCUGGACACAUUUUUUUUGUCUUUGAAGAAUGAAAAUUGCAUUUCCUUUAAUGUAAUGUGUAGGCAGAUUAUUUAUUUCCUGUUCUCUAAAUAUGUGGAUGGAAUAUUUUAUAUGAAGAAUGGAAUUUCAAAUAUUUAUAGGGGAGAAAACUCUUUUAUUUUGCCUUCCAAGUAUACACAAACAUUUUGAUCUAAAUAUACACUGAUACUUUGGUUGUGUGGUCAACAUCUUUUAAUGGGACAUACCUAUAAGCAACUAAUCAUAAUAUUUAAGACUGGCUUUUUCAUUUCAGUUUACGGAGUUAGUUACAUUUCUAUUGCUUUCUUCAAGAGUCAACUUACGGGACUAUGUUAAUAUCAAUUACUUACCUGCAUUCACACAAGAGCAAACUCAGUGCUAAAACUGUCAUCCUGGAAUAAGUUUGCAUGGAGUUUUAUGACAGUCUGAAACAAAUUUUUAUGAACAGUUUUUGUUUAGUGUGGUUCCCAGCAAACAGGUGUGUAUGUGUUUGUUUCAUGGGAUCAGUUUUGAACAGGACAAAUCAACUCUAGCCAAUAGGAGACUAAGGAACUCUGCAUUCUGCUACCAAACUCAGACCACCAGGAAAAAGUA